CUACGGGAUGCUGCAGGCGAGAAAACUUUGCAAUGUGCGAAAGCACGACAAGGUUAAUCCGAGUGGUUUGUGCUAAACGAACCUUUUGACAGUCCUAGAAACACUGUUGAAUAAGGGGUGGGCAAGUUCUGGUGUCAGCCGCCGCGGUAAAACCAGCACCUCAAGUGGUCAGGAUGAUUAUUGGGCCUAAAGCAUCCGUAGCCGGCUCUGUAAGUUUUCGGUUAAAUCUGUACGCUCAACGUACAGGCUGCCGGGAAUACUGCAGAGCUAGGGAGUGGGAGAGGUAGACGGUACUCGGUAGGAAGGGGUAAAAUCCUUUGAUCUAUUGAUGACCACCUGUGGCGAAGGCGGUCUACCAGAACACGUCCGACGGUGAGGGAUGAAAGCUGGGGGAGCAAACCGGAUUAGAUACCCGGGUAGUC
Molecule: ribosomal RNA, 422 nt
Filed under: uncultured archaeon
Lineage: Archaea
Description: partial 16S ribosomal RNA
Rfam family: Archaeal small subunit ribosomal RNA
Source: RNAcentral